AUGGCAACCAACACUUCAGCAACAGAUUAUUCAUCAGCAGGCACACAGCCACAGAUUGACAGACGACUCCUGGAGGCAGCCACAUCGGGUGAUCCCAGGCGAGUCAAGGAAUUAGUAUCACGGAAUCCAAGCAUUAUACUUGGAACCACUCCACAAGGAAACAGCUGCCUCCACAUAUCCUCUAUGCAUGGUCACAAGGAAUUCUGCGAGGAUGUGCUGGAAAUAGAGGAGUCUCUCCUUUUAAAUGCUAACUUUGAGUCUUUCCUCUCAAAGUUGAAUCUUCAAGGGGAGACACCGCUUGUAACCGCCGUUACACAUGGUCAUGCCUUCGUGGCUUCUUUUUUAGUUGGACGCUGCCAUCGACUAGGAUUGAGACAGGUAAUCUUGCAGCAAGACAAGACUGGUUGUAAUGCACUGCACCAUGCCAUUCACAGUGGCCAUAAGGAACUUGCCCUCGAGUUGAUAGCAGCAGAGCCUGCUCUGUCACGAGAUGUGAACAAAUUUAAAGAGUCACCCUUGUUUCUCGCUGUCAUGAGAGAUUUUUGUGAUGUGGUCGAGAAACUAGUCAGAAUUACUGAUUCUGCUCAUGGAGGAGAGUUUGGCUUGAAUGCUCUACAUGGUGCUGUCAGAAAUGAUAAUCCAGUUAUUGCUAGACAAAUUAUGGAGACACGCCCUGAACUUGCCAGAGAAGGUAACACGGAUUUGGUUACUCCAAUAAGAAUGGCGGUACGUUAUGGCAAGAUGCGCGUGGUGCGAGAAUUGCUGCGACAUGAUUUUUCCUUAGGGUAUGAAAUGCACAAGAACAUCUUUCCUCUGCUUAAUUGUGCCGCAGCUGGAGGUCAGGUUAAUGUUGCUCAAGAAAUUCUCAGACAUUGCCCUGAUGCUCCUUAUCGUGAAAUAGGUGGUGAGACUCGGACAUGCCUUCAUAUAGCUGUAUUGAACAAUCAUAUCGAGUUCGUUAAAUUUAUCCUGAGCACACCAUAUCUUCGAAAGCUUGUUAACAUGCAAGACAGCAACAGAAAAACUGCGUUACAUUACGCAGUCCAGGGGUGCUAUCCUAAAAUAAUUGCUGCCUUACUGUCUCAUGAGGAUAUAGACAGAGCAGUACUUGACAACAGUGCUAAACCAACAGCUUGGGAACUGUGGAUCAAUACGUAUUGCGCCAAAAGCAUAAACUGGAAUAACGUAUGGAUGCUUAAGUUGAAAGGCCGUCCCCAAAAUACCAUGUGUCUUCAAAAUAUUCAUGGUGAUGUCAAGCAAGGAGCAAUUAAUGAAUCAAGCGGGGUAGCAAAGUCACCUUGCCCACUGCUUUCAUUCUGCCUGUAA
RNAcentral lists this ribosomal RNA (1326 nucleotides) under Triticum aestivum (bread wheat). RNAcentral's name for it is "partial small subunit ribosomal RNA". Lineage: Eukaryota; Viridiplantae; Streptophyta; Magnoliopsida; Poales; Poaceae. The record is from RNAcentral.